This 206-nucleotide ribosomal RNA is filed under the name uncultured bacterium. RNAcentral's name for it is "partial 16S ribosomal RNA". It matches the Rfam family "Bacterial small subunit ribosomal RNA", at positions 568 to 774 of the family's 1533-position model. The record is from RNAcentral.
AGCGCAGGUGGUUUAUUAAGUCUGGUGUAAAAGGCAGUGGCUCAACCAUUGUAUGCAUUGGAAACUGGUAGACUUGAGUGCAGGAGAGGAGAGUGGAAUUCCAUGUGUAGCGGUGAAAUGCGUAGAUAUAUGGAGGAACACCGGUGGCGAAAGCGGCUCUCUGGCCUGUAACCGACACUGAGGCUCGAAAGCGUGGGGAGCAAACA